GAUGAAGAACGUAGCGAAAUGCGAUAAGUAAUGUGAAUUGCAGAAUUUAGUGAAUCAUCGAGUCUUUGAACGCACAUUGCGCCCCCUGGUAUUCCGGGGGGCAUGCCUGUCCGAGCGUCAUUGCUGCCCUCAAGCACGGCUUGUGUGUUGGGCCCCGUCCUCCGAUUCCGGGGGACGGGCCCGAAAGGCAGCGGCGGCACCGCGUCCGGUCCUCGAGCGUAUGGGGCUUUGUCACCCGCUCUGUAGGCCCGGCCGGCGCUUGCCGAUCAACCCAAAUUUUUAUCCAGGUUGACCUCGGAUCAGGUAGGGAUACCCGCUGAACUUAAGCAUAUCAAUAAGCGGAGGA
Molecule: unclassified non-coding RNA, 346 nt
Filed under: soil metagenome
Description: partial contains 5.8S ribosomal RNA, internal transcribed spacer 2, and large subunit ribosomal RNA
Rfam family: 5.8S ribosomal RNA (bases 1-120)
Source: RNAcentral